GGAUGUGAGGGCGAUCUGGCUGCAACAUCUGUCACCCCAUUGAUCGCCAGUGUUGAUUUGGCUGAUCUGGCUGGCUAAGCGGGUGUCCCCUUCCUCCCUCACCACUUCAUGUGCGUCCCUCCCAAAGCUGCGCGCUCUGUCGGUCGAAGAGGAUGCCCAUGGACGCCCAUCCCUGAUAGAGGAGGACCUUUCUUCAGUCAAGGGUAUACGAGUAGCUGCGCUCCCCUGCUAGAACCUCCAAACAAGCUCUCAAUACCAAAAAUGUCUUCACGUGCAGCUCAAUUUUACUUACAUAGAGGAGAAAAAUGAAGCUGAUUUUGAAAGAUGACCUAUUCUAAAAGGUACUUAUCUAUCAUUUA
RNAcentral lists this small nuclear RNA (359 nucleotides) under Castor canadensis (American beaver). Its description in RNAcentral is "7SK RNA (ENSCCNG00000003765.1)". It matches the Rfam family "7SK RNA". Rfam says of the family: 7SK was discovered as an abundant small nuclear RNA in the mid-70s but a possible function has only recently been suggested. Two independent studies have found that 7SK RNA binds the CDK9/cyclin T complex (known as elongation factor P-TEFb). P-TEFb activates transcription by phosphorylating the C-terminal domain of RNA polymerase II. Lineage: Eukaryota; Metazoa; Chordata; Mammalia; Rodentia; Castoridae. The record is from RNAcentral.